RNAcentral lists this ribosomal RNA (501 nucleotides) under uncultured bacterium. RNAcentral describes it as "partial 16S ribosomal RNA". It matches the Rfam family "Bacterial small subunit ribosomal RNA", at positions 29 to 523 of the family's 1533-position model. The record is from RNAcentral.
AUUGAACGCUGGCGGCAUGCCUUACACAUGCAAGUCGAACGGCAGCACGGGUGCUUGCACCUGGUGGCGAGUGGCGAACGGGUGAGUAAUACAUCGGAACGUACCUUAUCGUGGGGGAUAACGCAGCGAAAGCUGUGCUAAUACCGCAUACGCCCUGAGGGGGAAAGCGGGGGAUCGCAAGACCUCGCGCGAUUAGAGCGGCCGAUGCCUGAUUAGCUUGUUGGUGGGGUAAAAGCCCACCAAGGCGACGAUCAGUAGCUGGUCUGAGAGGACGAGCAGCCACACUGGGACUGAGAAACGGCCCAGACUCCGACGGGAGGCAGCAGUGGGGAAUUUUGGAUAAUGGGGGCAACCCUGAUCCAGCAAUGCCGCGUGAGUGAAGAAGGCCUUCGGGUUGUAAAGCUCUUUUGUCAGGGAAGAAACACCGGCUCUAACACAGUCCGGGAAUGACGGUACCUGAAGAAUAAGCACCGGCUAACUACGUGCCAGCCGCCGCCGUAA